Molecule: transfer RNA, 73 nt
Filed under: Trichonephila inaurata madagascariensis
Lineage: Eukaryota; Metazoa; Arthropoda; Arachnida; Araneae; Nephilidae
Rfam family: tRNA
About the family: Transfer RNA (tRNA) molecules are approximately 80 nucleotides in length. Their secondary structure includes four short double-helical elements and three loops (D, anti-codon, and T loops).
Source: Rfam by way of RNAcentral
GUCCCAGUAGCGAAAUUGAUAGCGCGUUGGACUUCUAAUCCAAAGGUCGUGGGUUCGAAUCCCACCUGGGAUG